Long non-coding RNA from Dromaius novaehollandiae (emu), 1190 nucleotides. RefSeq lists it as uncharacterized. The transcript has 3 exons. Lineage: Eukaryota; Metazoa; Chordata; Aves; Casuariiformes; Dromaiidae. The record is from RefSeq and is a predicted model, not a curated record.
CUUCCUCAUCUGCUUUUCUUUGUCUCUGUCCCUUUCUUUCUCUCCUUCUCCCUCCUCUUUCUUUCCCUUCCUUCCUUCCUCUUCCUGUCUUUCUCUCUUGUUCUCUUUCUCCCCUUCUCUUUCUCUCCAUUUUCCCUUUUUCUUUCUCCCUCCUUUCUUACUUCUCUCUCUCCCCUCUUUCUCCCUUCUUUCUUUCCUUCCUUUCUCUUUCUCUGUCUUUGGUCUCUAUCUCUGCCCUUCUCUCUCUCUCUCUCCAUUUUCCCUUUUUCUGUCUUUCUCUCCCCUUCUUUCUCACUUUCUCUCCUUUUCUUUCUUCUCUUUCUCCCCCGAUCUGUUUCUCCUUUUCCUGCUUUUUCCCUUUUGCUCUCUCACUCUCUGACACCACUUUCUCUUCCUUUCUCCCUCUUCCUUCCUUUCUUUUUCUCUCUCUACCUUGUUCUCACUUGUUCUCUUUCCCUCUCUUCUCUCUCCAGUCUCCAGUCUCUCCCUCUCUCUGUGCUGCUCUCUUAUUCUCUCGUUCUAUUUCUCUUUUGUCUCAGUCUCUCCUCUCUCUGUACUUGUUGCUCUCCUUCUCUCUGUUCUCUCCUCUUUUUCUCCCUUUUGCUCUUUCUCAAUCUCUUUUUUCCCUUUCUCUCUCUUUCUUCCUUAUGUUUCUUCUUUUCUCUCUUCCCUCCCUUUCCUCCCUCUUCCCCCCAUCUUCACCCCUGUUUCCCCCCUUCUCUUUCCCCUGUCUUCCCCCUGGAAUCUGGUGAAGGGAGAAGGUACACCUUGUGGUAUUAAUAUACAGAAUCAGUAAUUAAUAGAUAAUAAAUGUUGUUCAUAUGUGGCAAACUGAAUUGUCAGUAUUGCAUAAAGAUGGUUUUCUUCCUCCUCCGCAUGAGUCUCACACAAUAAACAUGAACUCAGGGCCUGAAGUACUAGAGUCUUUGUGCGAAUAUGUCUGCGGCUACUUCCAGAUGCGCUUGUCUGAGUCGCCAUACGAGCUGUAACACUGUGAGGUGCUGCCUUGUCCUCUGCUGGUCUCUGAAGGUAGAAGCAGUCUGUGACACACAGCGAAUGUGAUGUUCCCAUGUGCCCUGUGCGAGUGGCCGCUGCCCCGGGAGCUUUCCCCUCCAGCCAUACCCUGUUGGGUGGUGAGGACCCCAGGAGCCAGGGAACGGCGGGGCCGGGGCUGCUGGGACCGACCGAGC